Molecule: ribosomal RNA, 113 nt
Filed under: Labrus bergylta (ballan wrasse)
Lineage: Eukaryota; Metazoa; Chordata; Actinopteri; Labriformes; Labridae
Source: RNAcentral
GCUUGUAGCCAUACCGCCAACCCUGAACACACCCAAAUUCAGAAGAUAGGUAGGAUCAGGCCUGGUGUGUUCUUCGAUUGAAGACUGCCUCAGAAGACCAGAUGCUGUAAGCU